UGGGGAAUUUUGGACAAUGGGCGAAAGCCUGAUCCAGCAAUGCCGCGUGUGUGAAGAAGGCCUUCGGGUUGUAAAGCACUUUUGUCCGGAAAGAAAUCCUUGGCUCUAAUACAGUCGGGGGAUGACGGUACCGGAAGAAUAAGCACCGGCUAACUACGUGCCAGCAGCCGCGGUAAUACGUAGGGUGCAAGCGUUAAUCGGAAUUACUGGGCGUAAAGCGUGCGCAGGCGGUUUGCUAAGACCGAUGUGAAAUCCCCGGGCUCAACCUGGGAACUGCAUUGGUGACUGGCAGGCUAGAGUAUGGCAGAGGGGGGUAGAAUUCCACGUGUAGCAGUGAAAUGCGUAGAGAUGUGGAGGAAUACCGAUGGCGAAGGCAGCCCCCUGGGCCAAUACUGACGCUCAUGCACGAAAGCGUGGGGAGCAAACAGGAUUAGAUACCCGGGUAGUCCACGCCCUAAACGAUGUCAACUAGUUGUUGGGGAUUCAUUUCCUUAGUAACGUAGCUAACGCGUGAAGUUGACCGCCUGGGGAGUACGGUCGCAAGAUUAAAACUCAAAGGAAUUGACGGGGUCAUAGCUGUUUCCU
This 585-nucleotide ribosomal RNA is filed under the name uncultured bacterium. RNAcentral describes it as "partial 16S ribosomal RNA". It matches the Rfam family "Bacterial small subunit ribosomal RNA", at positions 355 to 1375 of the family's 1533-position model. The record is from RNAcentral.